Molecule: ribosomal RNA, 382 nt
Filed under: uncultured eukaryote
Lineage: Eukaryota
Description: partial 18S ribosomal RNA
Rfam family: Eukaryotic small subunit ribosomal RNA
Source: RNAcentral
CAAUAGCGUAUAUUGAAGUUGUUGCAGUUAAAAAGCUCGUCGUUGGAUUUCUGUUGAGGUCGAACAGUGCCGCCCUAUGGGUGCGCAACUGGCUCGGCUUCGGCAUCUUCUUGGAGAGCGCAUCUGCACUUAACUGUGUGGAUCGUACUUCAAGUCAGUUACUUUGAGGAAUUGUGAGUGUUUCAAGCAGGCUUACGCCGUUGAAUCCGUUAGCAUGGAAUAAUAGGAUAGGACCUCGGUUCUAUUUUGUUGGUUUUGAGAGCUGGGGCAGCGAUUGAUAGGGACGGAUGGGGGCGUCCGAACUUUACUGUCAGAGGUGAAAUUCUUAGAUCGGUCAAAGGCGAACUACUGCGAACGCAUUCGCCAAGAAUGUUUUCUUUAA